This 492-nucleotide ribosomal RNA is filed under the name uncultured bacterium. RNAcentral describes it as "partial 16S ribosomal RNA". It matches the Rfam family "Bacterial small subunit ribosomal RNA", at positions 29 to 507 of the family's 1533-position model. The record is from RNAcentral.
AGUGAACGCUGGCGGUAGGCCUAACACAUGCAAGUCGAACGGCAGCACAGUAAGAGCUUGCUCUUACGGGUGGCGAGUGGCGGACGGGUGAGGAAUACAUCGGAAUCUACUUUUUCGUGGGGGCUAACGUAGGGAAACUUACGCUAAUACCGCAUACGACCUCCGGGUGAAAGCAUGGGAUCUUCGGACCUUGCGCGAUUGAAUGCGCCGAUGUCGGAUUAGCUAGUUGGCGGGGUAAAGGCCCACCAAGGCGACGAUCCGUAGCUGGUCUGAGAGGAUGAUCAGCCACACUGGAACAGAGACACGGUCCAGACUCCUACGGGAGGAAGCAGUGGGGAAUAUUGGACAAUGGGCGCAAGCCUGAUCCAGCCAUACCGCGUGGGUGAAGAAGGCCUUCGGGUUGUAAAGCCCUUUUGUUGGGAAAGAAAAGCAGCAGGUUAAUACCCCGCUGUUCUGACGGUACCAAAAGAAUAAGCACCGGCUAACUUCGUG